UAGGGAAUCUUCGGCAAUGGACGGAAGUCUGACCGAGCAACGCCGCGUGAGUGAAGAAGGUUUUCGGAUCGUAAAGUUCUGUUGUUAGAGAAGAACGUUGGUAGGAGUGGAAAAUCUACCAAGUGACGGUAACUAACCAGAAAGGGACGGCUAACUACGUGCCAGCAGCCGCGGUAAUACGUAGGUCCCGAGCGUUGUCCGGAUUUAUUGGGCGUAAAGCGAGCGCAGGCGGUUCUUUAAGUCUGAAGUUAAAGGCAGUGGCUUAACCAUUGUACGCUUUGGAAACUGGAGGACAUAAGUGCAUAAAGGGAGAGUGGAAUUCCAUGUGUAGCGGUGAAAUGCGUAGAUAUAUGGAGGAACACCGGUGGCGAAAGCGGCUCUCUGGUCUGUAACUGACGCUGAGGCUCGAAAGCGUGGGGAGCAAACAGG
Molecule: ribosomal RNA, 429 nt
Filed under: Bacillota bacterium
Lineage: Bacteria; Bacillati; Bacillota
Description: Firmicutes bacterium partial 16S ribosomal RNA
Rfam family: Bacterial small subunit ribosomal RNA
Source: RNAcentral